AACGAACGCUGGCGGCAGGCUUAACACAUGCAAGUCGAGCGCCCCGCAAGGGGAGCGGCAGACGGGUGAGUAACGCGUGGGAAUCUACCGUGCCCUACGGAAUAAUGCAUGGGAACGUGUGCUAAUACCGUAUACGCCCUCCGGGGGAAAGAUUUAUCGGGGUUUGUUGAGCCAGCGUUGGGUUAGCUAGUUGGUGGGGUAAAGGCCUACCAAGGCGACGAUCCAUAGCUGGUCUGAGAGGAUGAUCAGCCACAUUGGGACGGGGACACGGACCAAACUCCUACGGGAGGCAGCAGUGGGGAAUAUUGGACAAUGGGCGCAAGCCUGAUCCAGCCAUGCCGCGUGAGUGAUGAAGGUCUUAGGAUUGUAAAGCUCUUUCACCGGAGAAGAUAAUGACGGUAUCCGGAGAAGAAGCCCCGGCUAACUUCGUGCCAGCAGCCGCCGUAA
RNAcentral lists this ribosomal RNA (447 nucleotides) under uncultured bacterium. RNAcentral describes it as "partial 16S ribosomal RNA". It matches the Rfam family "Bacterial small subunit ribosomal RNA", at positions 29 to 523 of the family's 1533-position model. The record is from RNAcentral.